UACGUAGGGUGCAAGCGUUGUCCGGAAUUAUUGGGCGUAAAGAGCUCGUAGGCGGUCUGUCGCGUCGGCUGUGAAAACCCGGGGCUCAACCCCGGGCCUGCAGUCGAUACGGGCAGACUAGAGUGCGGUAGGGGAGACUGGAAUUCCUGGUGUAGCGGUGAAAUGCGCAGAUAUCAGGAGGAACACCUGUGGUGUAGACAGCUUACUGGACCAUUUCUGACGCUGAGACACGAAAGCGUGGGGAGCAAACAGG
Molecule: ribosomal RNA, 253 nt
Filed under: uncultured bacterium
Lineage: Bacteria
Description: partial 16S ribosomal RNA
Rfam family: Bacterial small subunit ribosomal RNA
Source: RNAcentral